AUUGAACGCUGGCGGCAGGCCUAACACAUGCAAGUCGAACGGUAACAGGAAGACGCUUGCUUCUUUGCUGACGAGUGGCGGACGGGUGAGUAAUGUCUGGGAAACUGCCUGAUGGAAGGGGAUAACUACUGGAAACGGUAGCUAAUACCGCAUAACGUCGCAAGACCAAAGAGGGGGACCUUCGGGCCUCUUGCCAUCGGAUGUGCCCAGAUGGGAUUAGCUAGUAGGUGGGGUAACGGCUCACCUAGGCGACGAUCCCUAGCUGGUCUGAGAGGAUGACCAGCCACACUGGAACUGAGACACGGUCCAGACUCCUACGGGAGGCAGCAGUGGGGAAUAUUGCACAAUGGGCGCAAGCCUGAUGCAGCCAUGCCGCGUGUAUGAAGAAGGCCUUCGGGUUGUAAAGUACUUUCAGCGGGGAGGAAGGGAGUAAAGUUAAUACCUUGACUCAUUGACGUUACCCGCAGAAGAAGCACCGGCUAACUCCGUG
This 490-nucleotide ribosomal RNA is filed under the name uncultured bacterium. Its description in RNAcentral is "partial 16S ribosomal RNA". It matches the Rfam family "Bacterial small subunit ribosomal RNA", at positions 30 to 507 of the family's 1533-position model. The record is from RNAcentral.